UACGGAAGGCAGCAGUGGGGAAUAUUGCACAAUGGGCGAAAGCCUGAUGCAGCUAUGCCGCGUGUAUGAAGAAGGCCUUAGGGUUGUAAAGUACUUUCAUCGGGGAGGAAAAAACAAAACUAAUAAUUUUAUUUCUUGACGUUACCCGAAAAAGAAGCACCGGCUAACUCCGUGCCAGCAGCCGCGGUAAUACGGAGGGUGCUAGCGUUAAUCAGAAUUACUGGGCGUAAAGAGCACGUAGGCGGUUUUUUUAAGUCAGAUGUGAAAUCCCUGGGCUUAACCUAGGAACUGCAUUUUGAAACUGAAAUACUAGAGUAUCGUAGAGGGAGGUAGAAUUCUAGGUGUAGCGGUGAAAUGCGUAGAUAUCUGGAGGAAUACCUGUGGCGAAAGCGGCCUCCUAAACGAAUACUGACACUGAGGUGCGAAAGCGUGGGGAGCAAACAGGGAUUAGAUACC
RNAcentral lists this ribosomal RNA (456 nucleotides) under uncultured bacterium. RNAcentral describes it as "bacterial SSU rRNA". It matches the Rfam family "Bacterial small subunit ribosomal RNA", at positions 340 to 786 of the family's 1533-position model. The record is from RNAcentral.